AUUUUCUUCCUUAGUAUUUUUGUCUUGUUUUCCUAUUACAACUAUCUUACCAUUCAUAAAUCAAGUUGCAUUUACUUUGCGAAGCAAAAUUUUAAAAGACAGUCUUGUUUUCUGAAAUCAAGUGACUGUUUAAAACAAGAAAAAUGUCUGGCAACUUGUUUACCCUUAAAAUCAAGUAUUAUUGUCAGAUAUUUUUUCUCAUUUUAAGCAUAAACUCACUUAAUCUAGAUAAAUUUUUCAAGACUUUUUAUGUUAAGUAAUUGGCUUCUCAAGUUGAUUUAAGAUUGUUGAGAGAAUUGUACUGGAAAACAAGACAAAAACACAGAGGAAGAAAAUCUGAAAAAUGAACUAUUGCUUUUAUCACUCAUGAAUAUUGUUCAAGAGAUGUUUGAACUGACUCCUCAAAGCUUGUUGAAUGCUUGAAUUUCAAACGUUUUAUCUUUUUCAAUAGUUUUGGCUUUUUUUGAGAAAUUCUGACACGUGCACUCAAAGUUGCCAAUAUGUUAUAUGCAAAAUAGCCAUUGUUAUAUAUAUAAUUGUGGGUAACAACCUCAAUCAAUCGCUACUGAUUUAGAAAGCCAUGAACCUUGUCUGUGAGGUGUUACUGAUGGUUUGAGGUACCCGAAUAAAUAAUAUAAUCACUGCUGAGACAAUGUAGAAUGAAAUAGAUUGGAGUUGUAGGGAUGUCUGUACUGAUACGAUGAGGGUUGCAUUGAUCGUAAGGGUUUGGAAGUGUGAAUAGUGGGGUAACAUCAAGUCCUGACGAGUUGUUUAGAAUGGCAUGCAGCUGUAAUCGCGGUACUUUAGCUGGUAGACAUGUGACGCCUGUCGAUAUACUGUAAAUACUUUCGUAUGUAAAUAUUCUUUUCAUAUUUAUUCAUAUUGCCUCGGUUUAUGUUCAGCAGAUCUUUGCUUGGUUCUCCCUGUAAGAUCAGUGUUAUAGAUAGACGUUCGGUCCUGUGCAAAGCUGACCGCAAAAAUAUCAUUGUUGCUGCACAAAUCCAGUUUUCCUACAGCAACUGAAUGCUUAGAGAAGCAGCCAAUCACAAAACAGCAUGCCAUCAUGCGAUCGGAUUCACAGAUUCAAUUCGCUGGCUUUAUUUUUGACUUUUUAUUUUACAGUAAUAAACUCUUAUUUACAGUAAUAAACUCCCCUUUAAGAAUCAUUUCUUUAGGUGUGACUCGUGCACUAAAGUAUUGUUUUAUUAUUUCUUUUUAACUUGCAAUAAAUCUGCUGUUGAUUUUGACAGGUAGUUACUGCAAAGUUAAACUGCACUGUAUGCAUCGCUCUGAUCGUACUGUGACUUAACGAGGAUUUUUGAUGAUGGAUGGACGAUGGCAUGUUCUUGGCCCGUGCUGUAGAACUAGAAAAUUAAAUUAU
Molecule: long non-coding RNA, 1381 nt
Organism: Sinocyclocheilus grahami
Lineage: Eukaryota; Metazoa; Chordata; Actinopteri; Cypriniformes; Cyprinidae
Exons: 2
Source: RefSeq, a predicted model, not a curated record